GUCAGAAUCUUCCUCCUCCUGCUUGGAACAUGGAAUGAAAAUGAGUGGAUGGACUCCUUGCAUGCAUGUCUUCGAGCAUUAUUGGAAAAGAUUACCAGUUAGAUCUGCAUUACCCAAAUAUGAUUGGGAAAUCCCAGAGAACGUCUUGGAUGAAUCGGUGUUUCCUUUCUGAGUAUUCGUGCAUUAUCAGUGUAACUCUUCUACGUAUAAAUCUAGAUGCAAUGAAUGCUUUUGGCCCCAUUAUUGUCAGUAAAAGCUUAGGAGCUAACUUUAAACAUAAAUGCUGUUGUCCAAUGCAUUUGACUUCCAAAGAAUGCUGAUGACCUGGGAAAGCUGUGGCUUUCCAUACUCAAAUUUCCAUCAGUCCUAUCCAGCUAGUCAAGGACCUAUGAGAGGUAUAAUACAAAACAUCUAAAGAGACAACAAUUUCCUAUUUAGGCCUUAAUCCAAAUGAAGGAUGUACGGGAAAGAGCAGAACUACACAUUAGGAGAAACGAAUGCUGGAAUCCUGUUGGGGAAUUACAAAUGUGUUAGCACCAUAGUUAUAAUACACAGUGACACUUGCCCCAAUUCCCCUCUCUUCCAUCCCCAUUUGCCAGACAGCAGCUACUGUGAUCGACAGAGGGUCUGUUUUCCUGUUUUCCUAAAUUAAAUCUUCCUGUCCUCCCAUAAGCAAUCUCCAGUGCAACAGGCAGUAACUGGAUCUUAGUCACAAUUGUCCUUCACAUUGGACAUCACUUGUAGAAAUGGGGGGUGGGGUGUCACCAGCUGCUUCCCAAUCAACAGGGGAAGAGAUCUCCAUCAAUUGCAGCAGCUGAUGCCUGGUAAAUGGGAGUAGGGGGACAUUAUUGGUCCCUAUGUAUCCCCUAAUUUUGGUACUACAUAGGGAUCGUGAACAUGAAUAAGGGCAUAAGUCUAAGUUAUGCAUUUGCAACUGCGCAACAGAAUUCCAGCCAUUGUUGUCAAGAUUGGUAUCAUUGAUUAAAUACAGUGUGUGCACAUACUACAUAAGCGUUUCCAGGUGUGUUUACUUGUGCAUAAAGAUGCAUGCAUAUGCCACAGUUGAUGGUGCUUUCUUCAGUGUCUUAACAUAUAUUACUGCUUUCAUUUCUGUUGUUAAUGGGUUACAAAUGUGCUGCAGCCUUUAUCUAUCAUCAUAGAAAGGGCUGCAGCAUGGACUCCUGCUUUAGCAUUUUUGUCAAAGCACUUUCAAUAUUUUAUCAAUGAUAUUUGAUUAAAUGGCAAUUGGCACUAUUUAAUGGGUUCAAAGCCAAGAGAAGAUCUUUUUAGAAGAUCUCUUUUUAGUCAACAUCUACACUGUUAAUUCAGAUUAUAAAACCAGUCUAAAUAUGUGUCAAUACCAGAGGGCAAGGUGAAUGUUCAAUUAACUAUACCAAGAGCUAUCUAAAUCUCCUUUUAUUCCAUUCUUAGGAACGCAAGUAUACACUUCCUUCAUUUGUAUAAUUAUUUCAACACAUGUAUGGGAUGGCUCACCAGGUAGACAUGUUAUUUGUGUGAAAGGGCCUGAGACUCGGCCAAAAUGACAAAAAUUCAAACAGUGCAUACUCUCCUUUAGACUUACAAUGGUUGUAAUCAAAGAUGGUGUUGAUAGAAGCUGCUUAAUUAUUCGAUACCUUUCAUAAAGGGGCUUCAUUAAACUCUUGUCUUGCUUGUUUACCUAGAAAAGAAAGAUUCCAGACUGAUCCAUGAGGAAUUGACAUCUAAUACAAAGGUGAUGCACCAUUAAAAUUAUUUGCCAACCAAGAAAUACACUUGAAAAUUAAGAAACAUAACUGCAUGCUGCACAAAACAAAAAACAGAAAUGACAUUUUAUAUUCACUAGGCUACUGUUUCUAAUGUACAAAUUUGAAAGAAUGGACAAAUUAAGACAAAUAACCACUCUCCUUCGGCACAGAGAAUGAAAACUGUGUCAAAGAGAUGUGUGAUUUGUCGUAAUCUGUGUUUGUACCUUUCUAGAGAAAACUGAGUCAUGUGAAAAGUACAAAAUAUAGCUCACACAUUUUUCUUUAUGCUUUGUACCGUUGUUUUUCUUAUCUUGAUUUAAAGCCAAUUAAGGUUGAGUCUAACACUAGCCCUGGUGCAAUUGUGAUGGUAGCUAAUGUACCAGGCCAGACUUGCUGCGGUGCCAUGCUGGCAACCACAUCACCAUGCCCCCCAUAUCACUGAUGCCACUCCUAGCUAACCACAGAUCUCCAUGACUGUUUCCUGUCACAUGGGUGAUGUCAUAAUAGGUAGUCUGUGUAAUCAUAAAGAAGGGAGAGAGAUCAACCCUCUCCUUCUUGCUGGUCUGACAUCACAGAUAAGAGCCAGAUGUUGGACGGUUCCAUUUCCAAUGAGGAAGAGCAGCUAUGACAUGGAGUUAAGCCAUUCCCUUUGAUGAGUGCAGGGAAAGAAAGAUGGUGCGGUGUCAAUCUUGACAAUGGAUCAGACUGAAUCGGAACAAAUUCAGCUGUCUACACUGCCCAAAGUCCAAGGAUACCCUGGGAUUUCCAGCAAGCUCUAGAAUAUCCACCAAUGUUGUACAAAGUGCAGGGCAGUAGUAGUAAAAUAAGAAAACCCACAAUUCUCACUGGAAGAUGCCAAAGGGCAUGGGGAGAUUCAACAGUGAUGCAAAGUGAACCCAUGUUUUCUUGCUCAUAGAGACUGCCCUAAUAGGCUUGUGCAAGGAUCCGUUUUAGCCGUUUUCCUUCGGCCAAUAUGACUUUUUUGGCUUGGUUGGAUGGCCGUAAUGGCAAGGGCCCAGCCGUCAUGGUUUCCCAUUCAUAACUAGACCACGUGGCAGCACUUUUCGGGAACACGCGACGCGGAAAGAGGCUGCCGCCACAUGCUCCUCCUUGCACGGGGAUUUGCUGUGAGCCCUGCAUGCUGGGCCAAUUGGAGUAGAAGAAUGCAAUGACGUGUCUUACGCAAGCUGUGUCUACUUAAUGGGGCAACUGCCUCGAUUGCUCUCAGUUGCUUCCUCGUGCUUCAGUCUGAUUGUCUUGCCUUGCUGUCUCUCAGCUUGAUUUUUUUGGCUUGCUUUGGCCUCUCUCUGGAUUUUUUUUUAUUUUCCUUUAUUUCUUGAUUUUUUAUAUUUAGUGGGACUGACUGAGAGUUGAUAUUGUGGAGGACGGGUGAAUGGGGUGUGCGAACACAUUUGGAGACUUGGGAAAAAGAAAGAGCAUCUCUUUCUCUUUGCUCUUGUGGUGGGCUUUUCUUUAGAAAUAUUUGGGUGGCUCUGAGAACCUUGAGUCACCCUUUAGCUUUUUUCCCUCCCUUUCUCUCCCAGUGGCGAAGUGUGUUAAAGCACUGAGCUGCUGAACUUGCAGACUGAAAGGUCCCAGGUUCAAAUCCCGGGAGUGGAAUGAGCACCCGCUGUUAGCCCCAGCUCCUGCCAACCUAGCAGUUCGAAAACAUGAAAAUAUGAGUAGAUCAAUAGGUACUGCUCCAGCAGGAAGUUAACGGCGCUCCAUGUAGUCAUGCUGGCCACAUGACCUUGGAGGUGUCUACGGAUAGCGCUGGCUCUUCGGCUCAGAAAUGGAGAUGAGCACCAACCCCCAGUCAGACAUGGCUGGAUUUAACCUCAGGGGAAACUUUUACCUUUUACCUCUCUCCUUCAGAAAAUACUUCUAAAAGAUAAUAAUUAAAACAAAAAGAAAACCCUCAUUCUCACAAACAACUACCUAGUUACCUACCACCUUCCUUUGCAAACUAGUUCUUUCUCUCUAUAUCUCUCUGUGCUGCUCAUCUCUGCCUUCUGAAUUUUCUAGUAAAAAAUAUAAUAAUAAUAAGUAUUGGCUGACGGUUGCCACUUGCCAAUAGUACAAAGAAAAGUUACAACACUUAGUUGGGCUUCAAUCUGUGGAAAAACUUGGUCGGAAUCCAUCAUCUCCCCUCUUUUCCUUCAGAAAAUACUUCUAAAAGAUUAAUAAUAA
Anolis carolinensis (green anole) is the source of this 3935-nucleotide long non-coding RNA. RefSeq lists it as uncharacterized. The record is from RefSeq and is a predicted model, not a curated record. Lineage: Eukaryota; Metazoa; Chordata; Lepidosauria; Squamata; Anolidae. The transcript has 2 exons.